GAUGAACGCUAGCGACAGGCUUAACACAUGCAAGUCGAGGGGCAGCGGGGGCGGAAAGACUUGCUUUCGUCCUGCCGGCGACCGGCGCACGGGUGAGUAACACGUAUGCAACCUGCCCACCGCAGGGGGAGUAAGCCGGAGAAAUCCGGUCUAAUACCGCGUAACAUCCUCGGGAGACAUCUUCCGGGGAUCAAAGGAAGCGAUUCCGGCGGUGGAUGGGCAUGCGGCGCAUUAGCUAGUCGGCGGGGGUAACGGGCCCACCGAGGCGACGAUGCGUAGGGGUUCUGAGAGGAAGGUCCCCCACACUGGUACUGAGACACGGACCAGACUCCUACGGGAGGCAGCAGUGAGGAAUAUUGGUCAAUGGGCGC
RNAcentral lists this ribosomal RNA (371 nucleotides) under uncultured bacterium. RNAcentral describes it as "bacterial SSU rRNA". It matches the Rfam family "Bacterial small subunit ribosomal RNA", at positions 28 to 378 of the family's 1533-position model. The record is from RNAcentral.